Molecule: ribosomal RNA, 1380 nt
Filed under: Triticum aestivum (bread wheat)
Lineage: Eukaryota; Viridiplantae; Streptophyta; Magnoliopsida; Poales; Poaceae
Description: partial small subunit ribosomal RNA
Source: RNAcentral
AUGUCCAUGGGAGAAUACCUUGAUUCUCAUAGUCUGCAUUUAUUUGCAGAAUACUUACAGCGUCACAUCGAAUCUCCUGAAGCCAGUUCUUGUCUGACCAGUAGACGAAAGCCAUUCACUGUGUUGAAGCCAAUCUGCUUGAACGUUAUGUCUUUAGAGAAGUCUGCACGGAAAGGUGGGAGGCAACGCCAUGGCAACAUUGCACUUGAUUUGCCUGAUGAUCUGUACAAUCUAUACAAGUCUGACCCAGAGGAGAGUUACACCCAGCGCAAGAACCGGAUCCAGUGGAUCAGAAGAUAUUGGGAAGAGCAAUGGUUCAAAUACAAGUUUGUGACACCUGAAUAUGCUGAAAAGAAUGCCAUCAAGCGCCCGUGGGGUGACUAUCUAUACCGUGGCUUGGUGCCAAAGAACAAGGAUGGAGCUAUUGCUCAAGGGUUCUAUCCCUGUAAGGCCAGAGGACCACAGCCUGCGAAUGCCGACCCAUCUUCUCCCUUAUGGUGUCGUGAAGACAAUCUUUUCAAGUGCAACUACCAGUUUGCAAAAGAUUCUGCUAUCAAAAAUCAGAAGGAGUUUGGCCUCAACUUCAACCCUGGCCCCACCACUCCAAGACCUGAUGGGACUCGUGAAGCAAAUGAGAACAGGAUUGGCCCCUUUGCCAAUUUUGACAGGCUUCUGUCUCAUAUUGCUGCCCAAAGAGCUGUUGUGGAGCAAUCUGCUGGAGAAGCUGAUUCUGAAGAUGCUCCCUCACCACCAAAGCAGAAGAAGAAAAAAGCAAAAGCUUCAAGGCCAUCUGCUUCACCAAAAGCUUCAACCAAGAAGCCUCUGAAUGCUGCACCGCCUGAAUCCAGUGUGCAAUCUGAAGAUUUAUCUCGUGUGUCCAAGAGGACCAAGAAGCCAUUACCCAAGAAGGCCACUGGGCAACCUCUCACUCCUUUUGCUAUUCUGCGCAAUGAGGAUGACACCAUUGAUCUGUCCGGCGAUGAAGAUCUUGGUGAUGAUGCCCUUGAGAUGCUAAGCAAGAGCAAGCAAGAGGCAGAAAUCUUCAAUGAUCCGCCCCUCUUUGAUGUUGACAUUCUUAACAACUUCAUUGAUGAGUGGUUCAAUGACCAGAGCACUAGCAUUGAUGAUCUUCAGCUUCCAGUGGACAUCAGCGUCACAUUUCAUGGAGCCAUUGCAAAUGAGUUGGCCUUGGCUCAAAAGAUUGUUGAGCUCAAGAAUAAAAUUGAUUAUGAGAAGGCUCACUUCAAGAAGAACAUGGACAAGCUCAGCGUGGCAGAUGUUCAAAUCUUCAAAAAAAUGCUGCAUGACCUCAAGGAAGAGUUUCACAAGAAGCGCAAUGAGGCUAAAGGCUCACAAGAGCGCAUGAAGUACUUCACCUAG